This 1372-nucleotide ribosomal RNA is filed under the name uncultured bacterium. RNAcentral's name for it is "bacterial SSU rRNA". It matches the Rfam family "Bacterial small subunit ribosomal RNA", at positions 28 to 1381 of the family's 1533-position model. The record is from RNAcentral.
GAUGAACGCUGGCGGCGUGCCUAAUACAUGCAAGUCGAGCGAACGGACGAGAAGCUUGCUUCUCUGAUGUUAGCGGCGGACGGGUGAGUAACACGUGGAUAACCUACCUAUAAGACUGGGAUAACUUCGGGAAACCGUAGCUAAUACCGGAUAAUAUUUUGAACCGCAUGGUUCAAAAGUGAAAGACGGUCUUGCUGUCACUUAUAGAUGGAUCCGCGCUGCAUUAGCUAGUUGGUAAGGUAACGGCUUACCAAGGCAACGAUGCAUAGCCGACCUGAGAGGGUGAUCGGCCACACUGGAACUGAGACACGGUCCAGACUCCUACGGGAGGCAGCAGUAGGGAAUCUUCCGCAAUGGGCGAAAGCCUGACGGAGCAACGCCGCGUGAGCGAUGAAGGUCUUCGGAUCGUAAAACUCUGUUAUUAGGGAAGAACAUAUGUGUAAGUAACUGUGCACAUCUUGACGGUACCUAAUCAGAAAGCCACGGCUAACUACGUGCCAGCAGCCGCGGUAAUACAUAGGUGGCAAGCGUUAUCCGGAAUUAUUGGGCGUAAAGCGCGCGUAGGCGGUUUUUUAAGUCUGAUGUGAAAGCCCACGGCUCAACCGUGGAGGGUCAUUGGAAACAGGAAAACUUGAGUGCAGAAGAGGAAAGUGGAAUUCCAUGUGUAGCGGUGAAAUGCGCAGAGAUAUGGAGGAACACCAGUGGCGAAGGCGACUUUCUGGUCUGUAACUGACGCUGAUGUGCGAAAGCGUGGGGAUCAAACAGGAUUAGAUACCCUGGUAGUCCACGCCGUAAACGAUGAGUGCUAAGUGUUAGGGGGUUUCCGCCCCUUAGUGCUGCAGCUAACGCAUUAAGCACUCCGCCUGGGGAGUACGACCGCAAGGUUGAAACUCAAAGGAAUUGACGGGGACCCGCACAAGCGGUGGAGCAUGUGGUUUAAUUCGAAGCAACGCGAAGAACCUUACCAAAUCUUGACAUCCUUUGACAACUCUAGAGAUAGAGCCUUCCUCUUCGGGGGACAAAGUGACAGGUGGUGCAUGGUCGUCGUCAGCUCGUGUCGUGAGAUGUUGGGUUAAGUCCCGCAACGAGCGCAACCCUUAAGCUUAGUUGCCAUCAUUAAGUUGGGCACUCUAAGUUGACUGCCGGUGACAAACCGGAGGAAGGUGGGGAUGACGUCAAAUCAUCAUGCCCCUUAUGAUUUGGGCUACACACGUGCUACAAUGGACAAUACAAAGGGCAGCGAAACCGCGAGGUCAAGCAAAUCCCAUAAAGUUGUUCUCAGUUCGGAUUGUAGUCUGCAACUCGACUACAUGAAGCUGGAAUCGCUAGUAAUCGUAGAUCAGCAUGCUACGGUGAAUACGUUCCCGGGUCU